RNAcentral lists this long non-coding RNA (2070 nucleotides) under Solanum lycopersicum (tomato). RNAcentral's name for it is "partial TCONS_00141910". Lineage: Eukaryota; Viridiplantae; Streptophyta; Magnoliopsida; Solanales; Solanaceae. The record is from RNAcentral.
UCCCACCGGCUGGCUAACACAAUCGCCGCCACAGUUAGGGGAGGCAAGUACUAUUUCAUCAAAAAAAUCUCCAAAAAUCUACCAUCCCUUCCUUUCACCCUCCUCUACAAAAAGUCGCAAAUCAUUCAUCCUUAUCCAUAUCCCAAAUCCAUAGAUCUAAGAAAACCAAAUAUAGAUCUUCACUUUUUCUUUAGAUUUACAAUGUUUAGAUCAACCCAAUUCCAUACCCUUUACAUAUAUGUGUAGAGCUCAAGGGCUAACGUUUGAUAUAAAUUUUAUGUCCAAAAUCCAUCAAAAAAAAUUCCAGCGGAGUUUUUCGGCGACCCCCAUUCACCCGAAGAUUUAUGUCAAUCUUUUCCCCUCUUGUUAUCUAUCCAAAUCCGUCAUAUCACAUUUUUUAACUAUAUAAGUAGUUUUGGUGCCAGAUUUGUAUUGUGUUGUUAUUGUUCUUUAAGUUUUAUCAUUUUUAAAAUUUUUCUUGAAUUUCGUUUGUUUUUUAUUUUUAUUUUCUACCUUAUUUAUUGUGUUUGAUCUUCAAAAUAGUUUAGAUGUUUGGAUUUUGUGUUAGUAACCUAUUAUUAACACAAAAUCCAAACAUCUAAACUAUUUUGAAGAUUAAACACAACAAAUAAGGUAGAAAAUAAAAAAAAAAUAAAAACAUAAUUUAAAAAAUAAAAUUCAACAAAAAGUUUCAACAUGAUAAAACAUAAAGAACACUAACAAAAUAAUACAAAUCUAACACGAAAAUGACUUAUAUGGUUAAAAAUGUGAUAAUUUAAAAUUUGGAUAGAGGAUGAGAUGGGGGGGGAUGACAUGAUUUUUCGGGUUAAUGGGGUCACCGAAACUCUGUCGGAAUUUUUUUUGAAGUAUUUUGAACAUAAAAUUUAUAUCAAAGAAAAAAGUGAAGAUUUAUAUUUUCUUUAUCUUAGAUAUAUGGAUUUUGGAUAUGGAUAAGAAUGAAUGAUUUACAGAUUUGUUUAGAGGGGGGUGAAAGGAAGAUAUGAUAAAUUUUUGAAGAUUUUACCGAUGAAAUGGUGGCGGCGACCGGCCGGUGGGGAUCGUGGUAGUAAGGGGAUAGUAGAAACAAAAAAAUAAGGACAAAAUUCUGAUUUUUGGGAGUUUACGUUUUAUUUUUUGGUAGGGUUACAUAAUAGCCCUUGGAUCAACAUAUCAUGAAUGGUUGAGAUUCAAUCUUGACCAUUUCUAUUGGAUCGGGUCAAAAUCGAUAAGGGUAUGAGAAUUUUGUUUAAAUCAAUCAAAUUCAAUCAAAAUUGGGUCAUUUGGGACAAUUGGAAAAAAAUAAUACAAACAAAGACAAAACCCAAAAUACAAAUAAAUUAUAGGAAUAUACAUUACUAUAUAUUGUAGUAGUAAAAUAAACACGUCAAAAAUUAGGUUUUCACACUCAUGUCCUAUAACAAUGUGCCCCCAUAGGUUUGUCUUAGAUAGACAUUAGCUAGUGGAUCCACUUUAGCUCAAGCUUAUGGUUUUUUCCUUGGCAAGUAAGGACAUCUCUUUUUGGUGUGGAAUAAACACUGGAUGACAUGUUAUAGAUCACAUGGUCUAUGCCCGUUGAAGGCAAACUUUCCACAAUAAUGAACUAAGUCAUUGAAGGCUUUUGAGACAACUUUGAAGGAAAACUUGGAAUCCUCAUUCAUCCAAGUUGGGUAGGUCCUCACUUUCCGAGGGCAAUGUCACUAUCAAGCUAUCAAUGUUGUUCUAGUCUUAAAGACAAUAUGUUCAUUUCUUUCAUUUGAGUGUUAAAGAUUGUAUAGCCUAUAUGUAGUUUUAUUGUAUUGAUGUAUGGGCUAUGCUCGAUUGUUAUACUCUUGUUUAGAUGCUUAUGAGAUUCCUAUACGAAGGGUCUAUGUUUAAUUGAUAUGAAUAUAUAUUAUGUGUAUCGUAGAGGUCUAUGUAAACCUUAAGAUAUAUAUACGAAAGUUUAAAAAUUUUCUGCAGUUUAACCUAUGAAUGUAAUGAUGUAAGCUAAGAGGCUACUCUUAAUCCUCAAAGAAGAUGAUGACGUCGAUUACGUCUAGGGGGUGCUCCCCAGAUGUGAUAAUAAAUGUC